UACGUAGGGUGCAAGCGUUGUCCGGAAUUAUUGGGCGUAAAGAGCUCGUAGGCGGCUUGUCGCGUCGUCCGUGAAAACUUGGGGCUCAACCCCAAGCUUGCGGUCGAUACGGGCAGGCUCGAGUUCGGUAGGGGAGACUGGAAUUCCUGGUGUAGCGGUGAAAUGCGCAGAUAUCAGGAGGAACACCGGUGGCGAAGGCGGGUCUCUGGGCCGAUACUGACGCUGAGGAGCGAAAGCGUGGGGAGCGAACAGG
RNAcentral lists this ribosomal RNA (253 nucleotides) under uncultured bacterium. Its description in RNAcentral is "partial 16S ribosomal RNA". It matches the Rfam family "Bacterial small subunit ribosomal RNA", at positions 524 to 776 of the family's 1533-position model. The record is from RNAcentral.